UUAUAUGGCCACAUUUCACCCUGCAGCCCAAGGCUGGUUACUCACUGAAGCUAAGCAGUGCUGAGCCUUGUCAGUACCUGAAUGGGAGAUCACAUGGAUAUACCAGAUUGCUGUUAGAA
This 119-nucleotide ribosomal RNA is filed under the name Danio rerio (zebrafish). Lineage: Eukaryota; Metazoa; Chordata; Actinopteri; Cypriniformes; Danionidae. The record is from RNAcentral.